This 174-nucleotide ribosomal RNA is filed under the name Oesophagostomum dentatum (nodular worm). RNAcentral describes it as "partial large subunit ribosomal RNA". Lineage: Eukaryota; Metazoa; Nematoda; Chromadorea; Rhabditida; Strongylidae. The record is from RNAcentral.
UUUUAUAUAAUUAUUAUAUCUAUUAAUAAUUUGAAGAAUUACUCCGGAGUUAACAGAAAAUCAUAUCUAAUCUAGUUCUUAUAGUAAGAUAAGUUUUACAUCGAUGUUGUAUUUAAGUUUAUUAAGAAAGGAGAAGAUUUAAUUUUUAAGACUGUUCUUCUUUUAAUUAACUUA